UACGUAGGGCGCGAGCGUUGUCCGGAUUUAUUGGGCGUAAAGAGCUCGUAGGCGGCUUGUCGCGUCGGCUGUGAAAUCCCGCGGCUCAACCGCGGGUCUGCAGUCGAUACGGGCAGGCUAGAGUUCGGUAGGGGAGACUGGAAUUCCUGGUGUAGCGGUGAAAUGCGCAGAUAUCAGGAGGAACACCGGUGGCGAAGGCGGCUCUCUGGGCCGAUACUGACGCUGAGGAGCGAAAGCGUGGGGAGCGAACAGG
RNAcentral lists this ribosomal RNA (253 nucleotides) under uncultured bacterium. RNAcentral describes it as "partial 16S ribosomal RNA". It matches the Rfam family "Bacterial small subunit ribosomal RNA", at positions 524 to 776 of the family's 1533-position model. The record is from RNAcentral.